RNA transcript from Carcharodon carcharias (great white shark), 2401 nucleotides. It is a transcript of the gene named MAD2L1-binding protein-like, with no coding region annotated. The record is from RefSeq and is a predicted model, not a curated record. The transcript has 4 exons. NCBI's taxonomy places the organism in Eukaryota, Metazoa, Chordata, Chondrichthyes, Lamniformes, Lamnidae.
AGCAGCUUGAGAUGGAAAAAGAAAUGAAAAGGCUUGAACUUGAACUCCAGAGAAAGAAUUAAGCAAAAGAGCAAGAAGAAAGAGCAAAAGAAAUGGAAAUGCCAAAGCUUGAACUUGAUUUUCGAAGACAGAGAUCAGAUACCAUGAACUGGCUAGAGAACAAUUUAGGUUACGCAGUGAAAGAGAGUCUAGCAGUUCGGAUGAGGAAUUGAGUCCAUUCUGAGCUUUGAUAUGACAGACUCCUUGUUUAUUGUCUAAGUUCACUGAAGACGGAGUUGAGGGAUAUUUUAUCUCGUUUGAAAAGGUGGUUCCAAAGCUGAGUGGCAAAAGACAUAUGGACUCUCAUUUUACAAAGUGUCUUGUUUGGGAAGCUAUGGAUGUGUAUUCUAGCCUUUCAGAAGAACAAUCUUCAGAUUAUGAGGUGAAGCAGCUUGAGAUGGAAAAAGAAAUGAAAAGGCUUGAACUUGAACUCCAGAGAAAGAAUUAAGCAAAAGAGCAAGAAGAAAGAGCAAAAGAAAUGGAAAUGCCAAAGCUUGAACUUGAUUUUCGAAGACAGAGAUCAGAUACCAUGAACUGGCUAGAGAACAAUUUAGGUUACGCAGUGAAAGAGAGUCUAGCAGUUCGGAUGAGGAAUUGAGUCCAUUCUGAGCUUUGAUAUGACAGACUCCUUGUUUAUUGUCUAAGUUCACUGAAGACGGAGUUGAGGGAUAUUUUAUCUCGUUUGAAAAGGUGGUUCCAAAGCUGAGUGGCAAAAGACAUAUGGACUCUCAUUUUACAAAGUGUCUUGUUUGGGAAGCUAUGGAUGUGUAUUCUAGCCUUUCAGAAGAACAAUCUUCAGAUUAUGAGAGGAGGACCACAUCAGGAGCAUGAAGCCUGGUGGCCCAGCUGUGUACCUGAUGACUUACAGAGAGCAGAGAAGACAGAGGAGAGAGCGACUGAAGCUCCUGGCCAUGCAAAGACAGGAGCAGCAACCUCAGAAAGCAGUGGUUGCUGGGGCUCACACACACGCUGCCAACGAGCGACAGCGAGCCAUGGCUAGUUGGCAAACUGAGGGUUUCUCAGUUCUCAACAGAAGGAUUUGGAAGUCACUGGCAAGGUCAGCAUUUGUUACCCAUACCUAUAUUGCCUUUGAACUGAGUGGCUAUGUCAGAUGGCAGUUAAGAGUCAACCACAUUGCCGUGGGUCUGGAGUCACAUGUAGAGCAGACCAGGUAAGGGUGGCAGAUUUAACCAUAUUAUGGCUGCUAUAUAAAGCCCAAAUUGUUUGGCUAGAAGUGCAUAUCUGAAAGAGAAAAUGAAUCUUCUCUUUGUCUUGACUGUCAUAUUGAUGUUCAUCACAAUCUAGCAGAUUUGGGGUAAUUACCAUCAGCCAUGGCUCAAUUGGUAGCAUUCUCACCUGAGCUAUAGGUCUGGUUGAAGUCCCAAUCCAGGACUUGAGCAAAUUAAGAUUGACACACCAGUGCAGAACUAAGGGAGUGCUACACUUUGAAGGUACCAUUUUUCAGAUCAACGCUAAACAAGGCCCCAAUUCUCCUGGGGUAGAUGGCAUUAUUUUGAAGAAAAGCAGGCGAGUUUCCCAUGGCAUGCUGGCCAUUUUUUAUCCCCAAUCAACAUCACAAAAACAGACAAUCUGGUCAUUAUCACAUUGCUGUUUGCAGAAGCUGCUGUGUGAAAAUUGCCUGCUGCGUUUCCUGCAUUACAACAAGAACUACACUUCAAAAGUACCUCAUUGGCUGUAAAAUACACAGAGGCAUCCAGUGGUUAUGAAGAGCAGAAUAUAAAUGCAAAUAUUUUUAUUUUUGGGACCCCUACAUUGAAUUCAAGUUUUUUCACUUAACAUGGUGGAGUUUGAAAUCACGAUUUCUGGGCUGGUCAUCUCAUAUUGUAACCACCACGUUGCUGUACCCCAAUCAUUUUCUCCCCAUCAUAAUGCUCUGAUAGGGCAAUAAAAUCUUGUUACAUUUCUUAAGAUGUGGAUCAUGUCACCUUACACUUAAUGCCUCUGCCCAGUGUGGAUGUUGGGAAAUGUUUAAACUAACUUGGUGGGUGAUGGAAACAAAGAGGUAGCACGAGAGAGGAAAAACAAGGCCCAAGGAUUGUGAGGGCUGAAUCAGACAGUGAAUCACCUUCGGAUUGCCACUCCGCUCCUAUAUACUUAACUUCACUGGAGCUCCACAUUUCUCACCCAGACUUCCGAAAUGGGACCUCCUGAGAAAGGUGCAACCUACCUGCUCCUGGAGUAGUUCCCUCCUAGAUUAGGAGUGUUGGCAGGAGCCGAGCCAGGCCCACCUUUCUACAGCACUAGCUGCUGUAUACCGGCAAACGUCCCGAAGCCACUGACAAGCUAGGAGAGGUGGUGAGUCGGUGAGGGGUCAGGUGGUAGAUGGAUGGGUGAGGGGGGU